Molecule: ribosomal RNA, 442 nt
Filed under: uncultured bacterium
Lineage: Bacteria
Description: partial 16S ribosomal RNA
Rfam family: Bacterial small subunit ribosomal RNA
Source: RNAcentral
CCUACGGGAGGCAGCAGUGGGGAAUAUUGGGCAAUGGGCGCAAGCCUGACCCAGCAACGCCGCGUGAAGGAAGAAGGCUUUCGGGUUGUAAACUUCUUGUGACAGGGAAGAGUAGAAGACGGUACCUGUCGAAUAAGCCACGGCUAACUACGUGCCAGCAGCCGCUGUAAUACGUCGGUGGCAAGCGUUGUCCGGAUUUACUGGGGGUAAAGGGCGUGUAGCCGGGUUGAUAAGUCAGAUGUGAAAGCCUGCGGCUUAACCGCAGAACUGCAUAUGACACUGUUGAUCUUGAGUACUGGAGAGGCAGACGGAAUUCCUGGUGUAGCGGUGAAAUGCGUAGAUAGCGCGAAGAACUCCGAUUGCGAAGGCAGCUUCCUAAACUGUCACUGACAUUGAUGCACGAAAGUGUGGGUAUCGAACAGGAUUAGAUACCCCAGUAGUC